AACGUAGGGGGCAAGCGUUGUCCGGAUUUAUUGGGCGUAAAGAGCUCGUAGGCGGCUCGGUAAGUCGGGUGUGAAACCUCCAGGCUCAACCUGGAGACGCCACCUGAUACUGCUGUGGCUAGAGUCCGGUAGGGGAGUGUGGAACUCCUGGUGUAGCGGUGAAAUGCGCAGAUAUCAGGAGGAACACCAGUGGCGAAGGCGGUGCUCUGGGCCGGAACUGACGCUGAUGAGCGAAAGCGUGGGGAGCAAACAGG
This 254-nucleotide ribosomal RNA is filed under the name uncultured bacterium. RNAcentral describes it as "partial 16S ribosomal RNA". It matches the Rfam family "Bacterial small subunit ribosomal RNA", at positions 524 to 776 of the family's 1533-position model. The record is from RNAcentral.